Long non-coding RNA from Humulus lupulus (European hop), 15738 nucleotides. RefSeq lists it as uncharacterized. The transcript has 3 exons. The record is from RefSeq and is a predicted model, not a curated record. NCBI's taxonomy places the organism in Eukaryota, Viridiplantae, Streptophyta, Magnoliopsida, Rosales, Cannabaceae.
UAGUUUGUUUCUAGAUUACUUUGUGCCUGAUGAUGAGAACUUUUAUUUUUGUAUUGAUAUGUGCAUUGAUUUCAUUUUGAGCCUCCAUCUUUUCUGCUCCCACCAUCUUUGGUACUCACCAUCAUCUUCAAAAGUCCAUUAUUUUAUUUUAUUUUAUUUAUUUAUUUAUUUAUUAUUAUUUUCUCAUGUUGGCUGUGGUGAUGAUGAUGAUGAUCUGUGUUUGCUGUUGGUGGUGGUGAAUGCCAAAGGUGAUGGUUGAAGUGGUGGUGUUUAAACCUUGAAGAUGUGAUUGGUUCUUAAUGAAUUUUCAAUGUUCAUGAAAUUUCUAGCAUUAGUCUCUGAGGGCAUUUAUAUAUUAAAAUGGUCUCUUUUUAUAGCUACAAAAUAUAUAUUUUAUUGCGUAAUGUAAUAAGAUGAAGAUAUUGUCAUUUUUUUUUGUUAGUUUUCACUUUCUUUGCAUGCUUAUUUGCCCUGUGAUGGAAAAUCUAAUUUUCAGAAGCAGUUUCAUGGUUUUGCACUAUAAGCCUUCUCUCUCUCUCUCUCUAUACAUACAUACAUACAUAUAUAUUGCUCUCUCUCUCUCUCUCUCUACUUUUUCACCAGAAAAAGUCUAUUUUACAGAAGCUAUUGUGAGUGCUAUUAAGGCUUAUAAUGAAAAUUCUCAUAUACACUGUUAAUGACCAGAUUAGCUUAUGAGAUCUGAGGGCUUUUGAAUAUAUAAGUUUGUUAUUCUCUGUUUUAUAAUGCUUUAUUUGCUUUAUCACCUGUUAAUAGAUUAGAGGAAGAAUUAUUUAAAGAUUACCUUUAUUAUUAAUCUAUUUUAUAAUGCAUGUUUUUGACCACUACUUGACAAUGCCUUUGAUGCUUUUGUAUCAAGUAACUUGAACCUGUUUGCAGUGCAUUCUUGUUUACAUUGGAUUUGAUUUUGUCGUUAUCUGUUUUGGCCAAUCUUUGCUUCUUAGAUUAUGAACUUUUUUUUUUGGCCUGAUGAUGAUAGUUUUAUGUACGAGUCUUCUGUUUGGUUUUAUCUUUCUGUUCCCACAAUUAUCAACAUUCAUUGUAAGCCUCCAAAGGCCAUUUGCUGCAUAUUUUGUGUCAACAUAUCGUUACUCCUAUUAUUAUUGUUGUUCUCUAAAGGAUAGAAUAAAUAAUCUGUUGGAAGUGCAUUUAUGGUGGUUUUGGUGAAUGUCGAUAGCAGUGGGCGUAGUGGUAAUGGUUUAACCUUCUGAAUGAUGUGAUUGAAUUUUUAGCAAGUUUUGCUACAAGGUGGCUUCAACAUUGUUGUUUUCUUCAGGAACUUGUUGGAUUGAGUACUACAUUGUUGUUUAACGUCUACUCUCAUUGAUACUUUUCUGGGAAUGGAUUUCAUUCUUUUCAGUACUUUUUUUUUAUUCAAACCUUUGUUGUAAAUAUUGUAUUUUGUUUCUCUUUGUAAAAUCGUAUUAUAUCUUUCUUCUUUUGAUGUGUUCUGGAAUUUGUAUCUUAGAUUGGACAGUUUUAGUCUACAAUUUAUUUCUAACACUUUACAAUACUAUUAAAAUAGAUUUAGUUAUGAUUUCUUGUUAAAAUUCUUUUCUUUGUAAUUUACUUUUCUAAAAUAUUCUUACAGUGGCAAAAUUUAUUUUUAUUCGCUAGAGUAAAUUGAUUUUUUCUUCCCUAAGUUAUCAUUCUCUUGCAUCUGAUAGUGGUGAAAAUAAAUUUUAGAAAUUAAAUGAAUUGUCUUUAAUCUCUUAUGCCUCUCUAAUUCUCUUAUUUAUGUUAUUUUUCCCUCUCAGUUGAAAAUUAUGGAAUUCAUGAUUAUGCUUUGAGCGAAUAAAGAAAGAUUGUUUUAAAAUGAUUUUUAAACAUUUGUUGUAUCCCUAGAAGCCCGUUUUUAUUUAUUAAUAGCCUUCUGAUAUCUCAAAUUACUGGUAUGUUAUUCCCUUCUCUGUCAGUCCUUUAUGAUGUAAUUUUGUUUAUCAUUUAUAUUACAGUUUUUGUAUUUUUUUUAUCUUAAUGUACUUACUAAGGUUGAUGUCAAAUAAUAUUUUUUCUCCUAAUGAGCAGUAUUUAAUUUUUUUCCCUUUUUUUUCUUAUUAAAUUUAUUCUUUAACAGUUUAUAGUGAGUCUACAAAUUAUUGGUGGUUAUUUGUCAAUCUUUGGUUUUGCUCGAUUAUGCGAGUGUUGUGUUGAUUUCAUUUUGAGCUCCAUCUCCCACCAUCUUUGGUACAUAUCAUUGUUUAUGUCAUUGUUAUAAUUACUAUCAUGAGAUAUGACAUGUGCACACAAAAUUGUGCUAAACUUUUAUUAUAUUUUUUGUGCACAACAUUUUGUGUGUAAUGUAGGCUGUAAUAUGUGGAGACAUUGUUUAUGUGAUUUUUAGGUUUAUCGUGGUGGUUUACAUGUUGUUUGCUCUGUGAUGGAAAAACUCAUUGUGGAAAGCAGUUUCAUGGUUUUGCAUCAUGAGCCUUGUUAUAUCUGUCCUACUUUCUCUCUCUCUCUAUCUCUCUAUCUAUCUUGUGCUGGGCACUGUUGGUGCCUUGUAGCACUGCUCAUAUCUAUAUAUAUAUAUAAAUAAAUUUCUCUCUCUCUAAGGGUGGUUGAACGGUGUACUAAGGCUGAUAAUGAAAAUUCUCAUGUUAUACUGUUAAUGUCCAGGUUAGCUAUGAGAUCUGAGGGCUUUGGUAGACUUAUCAUAUACUUUAUUUUAAAUAUUUAUUUUAAUCUGUUUUGCUACUCACGUGUCUUUGACCACAACUUUACCAUUCCAUUUCAGUUUGAAUUGUGUGCAUUUCACUUUUCUUUGAUUCUCAUUUGGAUGAUUUUAUUUUAAUAAAUUUAAUCUCUUUGCAUUGCAUUCUUGUUUAUAUUUGGUUGUGUUUUUGUCGACUUCUUUACAUGCUAUAUUGGCUGCUAAUUUAUUAAUCAAAUAUUUUUUUCUGCCAAAUGUUGACAUUUUGUUGCAUCUAUUACUUUAUUUGCUUUUUUAUUAUUUGUUUCAAUGAACUUAAUCUGUUUGAUGUCAAUUAAUAUUGCAUUAAUUCUUGCAAAUUUUUUGAUUUUCUGGUUUUGUUUUUCUUUCUUUUUGAAUAGUUUUUCUACAAUCUAAAGCUAUAUCUGUCAAUUUGUUUAUGGCUAAAACUAUUCAGAUCAAUCUUUGUUUCUGCCCGAUGAUGAAAAUGUUCUAAAUUGAUUUAUUUGUUGAUAUCAUUUUGAGCCUCCAUCUCUUUCUGCUCUCACCAUACUUGGUACAUAUUAUCAUCAUCAAAAGUUCAUUCUUUACUGCUGUUGUUGUUAUUAUUAUUAUUAUUUUCUUGUUGUUGUUGGUGGUGAUGCUGAUGAUGAUUUUCUAUGUUUGCUGUUGGUGGUGGUUGAAGUGGUGGUAUUUCAACCUUAAAGAUGUGAUUGGUUUUUAAUGAAUUUUCAAUUUUUCUGAAAUUUAUAACUAUAAUAUCUGAGGGCUUGGCUUGUAUAGGAUGUUUUCUACGUAUAGCUUUCACGUUUGGAGGUUGACAAUAUUAGGGGUCUUGAUAUGUUAAGAUAUUGUUUAUGUGGGUUUUUAUGUCUCAAGUGCUUUACAUGUUUUUGGCCCUGUGAUGGAAAAACUCAUUGUGGGAAACAGUUUCAUGGUUUUGCAUCAUGAGCUUUGCUACAUCUGUCCUGCUCUCUCUCUCUCUCUCUUUUGUUGUGAUUGCCACUUUAAGAGCACUCCCAUUAGCUUCUCUACUUUGUGGUGCCUUAUAACAACACUCGUAUAUAUUUGUAUUUCUCCAUCUCUCUCUCUCUCAUAGGAUGGUUGGACUGUGUAGCAAGGCUCAUAAUAAAAAUUCUCAUGGUAUUCUGUUAAUGACCAGAUUAGCUAUGAGAUCUGAGGGCUUUCUUUGACUGAUCAUACACUUUUUUGAAUGCUCAACUUUGUUUUUCUAUUUUACUUUGUUGUAUCACCAGUUAAUCAAUGUAAUAUUGUCUGUUAAAAUAUAUAUCUUUUUUUGUUAAAAAAAAUAAUGCCCGAGGAUGACAUUUUGUUGCAAUGAGCUUUCAUUUUGAUCUUUCAUCUUUUUGCUCCUAACAACAUCGAUACUCACCAUAUGCCAAAAAUGCCCUAUCUCUAUGUAAAUUUUUGGUGCAUAUUAUUAUUAUUGUUGUUUUUUUUUUGUAGUAUCUUCCUCAAUUUAUUGUAAGUUAACCCUUGUAUAAACUACCAGUCAAUGCAUUUUGUGUUGUUUAUGAUAGUUCAUUCAUUCUUACUCUAAUUCGUGUUUCAAUUUUGAAUUUCUUUGACUAUAUUGUUUGUCUAAAAGAACAGAGGGGUGUAUCUAAGUAUGUUUAAUCUCUUUUCUGUGUUAGUUAUGUCCAUGGUGCAACUGUUGUUGAUCUUUCUCUUCAUUUUUUUAAUUUUUGUAAUUGCUUUUAUUUGUUUUUUCAUGUUUCUAAACUGUGUUAAAUCUUUUGUAUUAGCUAGUUAUGAUUUUUUUUUGGGAUAUGCUUCACUUUGUUCCUAUAUUUUAGGGCUUCUUAUUUAAAAUGUUAUUAAGAUUAUUAAACGUUUAAAUUUUUGCCUGAUGAUGAGUACUUUUUUUUGAGCCUCCAUCUCUUCUGCUCCCACCAUCUUUGGUACCAUCAUCUCCAGAAGUUUUAUAUUUAUUGUUAUUUUUUUCUCAUGUGGUGGUGACGACAAGGACGACCAUGUUCUGUGUUUUCUGUUGGUGGUGGUGAAUGCUGAUGAUGGUGGUUGAAGUGGCGGUGUUUCAACCUUGAAGAUGUGAUUAGUUUUCAAUGUUCAUGAUAUAACUAGCUCUCUGAGGGCAUAAUUGGUUGAUAUGAACUCAAAAUGAGGAUAUGAGGAUGCAUGUAUAUAUUUCUGUACUUUUUUUUUUGCAUGGAAAGGAUGUGAUGAUACUUUACUAUAAUGCUUUUUUUUAAUUAAUUUUUUUAAUGCAUAGUUUUCACGUACUUACAUGUUUUUUUGCCCUAUGGAAAAUUUCAUUUUGAAAAGCAGUUUUAUGGUUUUGCAUUCUAGUUAUGAAUAUGUUUAUGUAUCUCUCUACUUUUUCUGGAGAAAAAGUCUAUUUUACACAAGCUAUUGUGAGUGCUCCUAAGGCUUAUAAUGAUAAUUCUCAUGUUCUGUUAAUGACCAGAUUAGCUAUGAGAACUGAAGGCUUUUAUCGUCUAAUCUUCUAGUCUGUUGAAUAUAAACUAACCCUUGUAUUUUAAUCUGCAAGAUAAUGCAUUUUUCUUAAUAAAUUGCAACAUUCAGUUCAUAUUUUAUUUCUGCCCGGAGCACUUUUUGGAUUGUGUAAACUACAUCGAGUGUUUCAUUUUUGUAACUGUUACUAUCAUUCAUUAUCUUCUCAGCAUUUUAUUCUUCUUAAUACUUGUUUUUUUUUUAUGCUUCAAUGACCAAUGAAAUUUUUAUCUUCUGUUUCUGUUGUGUAAAAAAGUAUUAUUCACGAUCUUUCUUCUUUGUUUAGGAAAAUGCUUUUAAAUUUUCAUCAAAAAGAAGUUUUUGAUCACUUUAACUUCUCCAUUUUAUUUGUAAUACUUUAGCAUAAUAUUAAAAUUCUUAAAUUUCUCUGUAAUUAGUUCCUCUAAAAUUUUGUUUCUUCCCUCGUUAAUAUUUUUAUUAUUAUCUUUUGCAUCCGUUGAGUUGGAGAAAAACAUUCAGAAAUUACACUUUUUUGCAUUCUCUGUGCUCUCUCUCUCAAGGUAUAUAAAGGUGUAAACUGGCUUUAAUGAAAAUCAUGGUUAAUCUACAAACUGGUUUGAGUGAAAAAAGUUGGAUGCAUCUCUAAAAUGGCCUGGAAUUGCCGAAUGAGAUCUGAUUGCUAAAGAUAUCUGUAAUUACUGGUAUGAUAUUCUCUUAUCUGUUAUUAAUGUCCUUUAUUGUUCAAAUGUUGUUGAUCAUAUCCGUUACUUUAUUUAUUUUAAUGGACUUUAUCUGUUUCAUGUCAAUUAGCAUUUUGCUUCAUUGAAUUAUCAUUCAGGGACAAUGCAGUUAUUCUUGUAAAUUUUUUGUUUUUUUCCCCUUUUUUGAAUAGGUUUUUUUAAUUAUUAUUAUUAUUAUUUUUUUAUCAUUAAACAAAAUAGAGCAGCUCUCCCAAUUAAUGACAAUUAGUUAAAGCCUAAAGCUAAUGAAAUUAAUCUAUGUUUCUGCCCAACGAUGAGGAUGUUUUGUAUUGGUUUCAUUUUGAGCCUCCAUCUUUUUCUGCUCCCACCAUCUUCUGUACAUUUUAUCACCCUCAAAAAUCCAAUCUUUAUUAUGAGUAAUGAUUUGUGCACACAAAAAAGGCACUAAAAUCUUUUUACGAGUAAUGAUAUGUGCACACAAAAUAUGAACUAAAACAUUAUGGGAUACUGCUAUAUUCUUUAUUAUUAUUAUUACACAAUGAUAUGUGCACAUAUCAUUAAUCUAUUAUUAUUUUGUUGUUGGUGGUUAUGGUGAUGAUGCACAGCACUAUGAUGAUCUAUGUUUGUUGUUGGUGGUAGUGAAUGCCGAAGGUGGUGGUUGAAGUGGUGUAUGUGAUUGGUUUUUAAUGAAUUUUCAAUGUUAAGAAAUUUUUAACUAAAAUCUCUGAGGCCAUAUUAGGAUGUCUCUACAUAUAACUUGGCUUGCAAGAAAUGGGCCUGUGAUAUGUCAAGAUAUUGUUUAUGCGGUAUUUUAGGUUUCAUGUGCUUUACGUGUUUUUUGACCUUUGAUGGAAAAACUCAUUGUGGGAAGCAGUUCCGUGGGUUGCAUCAUGAGCCUUGUUACAUCUAUCCUACACACUCUGUCUCUCUCUUCUCUUCUCUAUGGUGCCUUAUAGCAAUACUCGUGUGUGUAUGUGUAUAUAUAUAUAUAUAUUUAUAUCUCUCUCUCUUCCUCUCUCAUAGGGUGGGUAGACGGUGUAUAAAGGCUCAUAAUGAAGAUUCUCAUGUUGUGUACUGUUAAUGACCAGAUUAGCUAUGAGAUCUGAGGGCUUUCUUUGUUUGAUCAUACUCUUUUCUUUUGAAUAUUCAUGUUUGUUUAUCCAUGUUGUUUUAUAACGCUACUUGUUAAUAAGAUGUGUUAUUGAAGAUUUUUCUAAUGACAAAUAAUGAUUAUCUUUAUUAUUAGUAACUAGAAGUUACUUUGCAGUAGGUUUUGGUUUUGUAUUUGACCUCUACUAUGUAGAAGUUAAUCAUUUUUUCGGCUAUAGUAUAUUUGGCUCCUCAAUCAUUUAUCUAAACUUUUUAAUUCCUGAUGACAUUUUGUUGCAAUAAGUUUUCAUUUUGAUCUUUCAUCUUUCCGCUCCUACCUUCAUCGAUACUCUCAGUAAGUGACCAACGCUCUAUCAGUGUGUAAUGUUUUGGUGCAUAUUUUGUGUGCGCAUAUCUGUACUCUUUUUAAUUGUUGUUGUUGUUGGUGAUGAUCUCCAUCUUAAGUUGAUUGCGAUGAAUGUCUAGUGGUCGUUGUAGUAGUAUUGGUGUUAAGCCAUUUGGAUGAUGUGAUUGAAAAUUUUGCAGUGAGAUCUGAGGGCUCUCAUGUUGUUGUUUUCUUGUAGGUGUUUUUAAAAAAAUGCUAUUCUCUUAGUUUCUCCUUCAAUUUAUUGUAAACUAACCCUUGUAUAAACUACCAGUCAAUGUAUGUUGGUUUUCUGUCUAUGUUACAACAUUCAUAUGAACUUUUCUGAAUAUUAUUAGUGUUUUUUUUAUUAAAUGUGAUUUUUGUAUUUGUUUAUUUAUUUUAGCUAGAAAGGAUGAUGCAUGAAAAAUUUGGCAGUUUCUAGUAAUUCCACUGAGUUUUCAUCAUUUACCUUCUUCCUUAUUGUUGGUAACAUCAUGAUAUCUUUUCUUUUUGUAAUAGAUGUUACUACUGAUUUUUUUUUGUUUUUCAUGUUACUAAAUUGUGUACUUUCGGAAUAUGGUUAACUUUGCUUGUGACAUAUUGACACUUCAUCAGUUUAUCUUAAAAAUGAUUCAGAUCAUUUAAAAGUGACAAGUUAUUUCUGCCCAAUGAUGAGAUUUUAUUUUUGUAUUGAUACGUUCGUGCAUUGAUUUCAUUUUGAGCCUCCAUCUUUUCUGCUCCCACCAUCAUUGGUAAACACCAUCAUCUCCAAAAGUCCUUUAUAAUAUUGUUACCAAAAUAUUACACAAUCAUAAUUAUUGUCUCAUGUUGGUUGUGGUGGUGGUAGUGGUAGUAGUAGUAGUAGUGGUUGUAUUGAUGAUGAUGAUGAUGUUGUGUUUUCUGUUGGUGGUGGUGAAUGUCGAUGAUGGUGGUGGAAGUGGUGGUGUUUAAACCUUGAAGAUGUGAUUGGUUUCUAAUGAAUUUUCAAUGUUCAUGAAAUUUUUAGCUUUUAAAUCUGAGGGCUUUUAUCCAUUAAGAUGGGCUGAUUACAUAGCUACAAAAUAUUAACUUAUUCCGUUAUAUUAAAUGGUGCAAAUGAAGUCAAAAUGAAGAUAUAUGUUUUUUUGCCCGGUGAUGGAAAACUCAUUUGUGAAGCAGUUUCAUGGUUCUGCAUUAUAAGCCUUGUUACAUAUUGAACUCUCUCUCUCUCUCUGUGCAUGCGUGUAUAUAUUUCUCUCUUUUUCUCUCUCCAGGAAAUAUCUAUUUAUCUAUUGGGAGUGCUCUUAAGGCUUGUAAUGAAAGUUCUCAUGUUAUCCUGUAAUGAUCAGAUGUGCUAUGAGAUCUAAGGGCUUUCGUAGUCUAUUCUUCUACUCUUCUCUAUAUGUGUGUGUGCGUGUGUGGGCGUGUAUAUAUUGAAGUUUUUAUGAUUCUUUAUUGCUGUUUCACCUGUUUAUCUGUGCUCGAUUUUAUUCAUUCUUUCAGUAUCUGUUAAGAUUGCUAUUCCUCGGAUCCUUUUGAUGAUUUUGUAUAUAGUAAUUUGUAUCUGUUUGCAGUGCAUUCUUGUAUACAUUGGAUUCAUUAUUGUUCAUAUCUGUUUUAGGCCAUUUAAUCUUUUUUCUGCCUGGUGAUGACAAUUUUAUGCAUUGAGUCCUGGUUUUGUCUUUCUGCUCCUACCAUCAUGACACUCAUCAUAUGCCUCCAAAGGUUCCAUUUGGUAGAAAAAGAUGCUAAUUGGUGCGCAUUUUGUGUUAUUAUUGUUGUUGUCGGUGGUUAUGAUUAGGGUUUAGGGUUACGGUGGUUAUGGUGAAUGCCAAUGGUGGUGGUCGUAGUGGUAAUGGAUAUAACCUUCUGGAUUACGUGAUUGCAUUAUAAUAUGAGUUUUGCUACAACGUUUGAGGGCUUUGAUAUUUGUUGUUUUCUUAUCGGUUCUUUUUUGUUUUUUGGUUCUCAAUUAAUUACAACUGACCCUUAUUUUAGUCUAAGUCAAUCUUCCUGAUGAACUUGUUGGAUUGUGUUUACUAUAUCUAUAUGUAGUGAUUUUUUUGUUUUUUUUUUAAUUAACUUUUACCAUUGACGCUCUUCUCUGCAUUUCAUUCUAUUGAAAGCUUCAAUAUCCAGUGAAGUUUGUAUCAUUUGUUUCUUUUGUGUAAAAAGAAGUGUAUUAUUGAUGAUCUUUCUUAUUUGAUGUUUUUGUCUUCGAAUUUGUAUGGAGGAAUCAGGAAAAUAUUUUAGUUUUAUAAGAAAAACAAAUUGUUUACUUUCAGGAUACUGUUAAAAUAUAUUUAUUUAUUAUUUCUUGUUAAAAUUCUUUAUUUUAUUUUUUGUUGUUGUAAUUUACUGGCACACAUCUUUGCUUCCUUGUCGGUUGUUUCUCUAAAAGCCCCUUUUUAUUAAUGGCCUGUAUUAAAUUACCGGUAUGUUUUCUUUUCUGUUAGUUUUGUCCGUUACGGUGCAGCUUUUGUUGAUCAUAUAUAUUGCUUUAUUUUUUACUUUCUGUUUUAAUGCAACUCUGCAUACUAAUGCUACAUCUGUCAAUUAGUUAAUCCCUAAAUCCGAUUAGAUCAAUCUUAGUUUCUCUUUUCUCUUUUUCACCAGAAAAAGUCUAUUUUAUUUAAGCCAUUGUGAGUGCUCUUGAGGCUUAAAAUGAAAAUUUUCAUGUUAUACUGUUGAUGACCAGAUUAGCUGUGAGAGGAUUUUAUUGUCUAUCUUCCAGUCUCUUGAACAUGAGCUAACUCUUGUAUUUUAAUCUACAAUUCCAUGCAUUUUUCUUUAUAGAAUACAACAUUCGUUCAUGUUUUACUUUUGCCUGGAGAACUUUGUUGGAUUUUGUAAUCUAUAUCUAGUGUUUCAUUUUCUCAACUUUUACUAUCAUUCACGCUCUUCUCUGCAUUUUCUUCUCAAUACUUGUUUUUAUCGUUUGUUUCUCUUGUGCAAAAAAAAGCUUCAAUGUCCAAUGAAAGUGUAUUAAUUUGUAUCUUAGAUUGCGGAAAGUAUUUUUAAAUUUCCAUAAAAAUUAAGAAAGUGUUUGGUCUAACUUCUCCAUUUUAUUUGUAAUACUUUAGCAAAAUGUUAAAAAAAAUUCAGUUAUGAUUUGAUUUGUAGUUAAAAUUCUUAAAUUUCUUCAUAAUUAGAUUGUUUCUUCCCCAAGUUACAUUAUUAUCAUUAUCUCUUGCAUAAUGCUAAACUUUGUUUUACAUUUUCUUAUUCUCUUGUUUAUGUUCUCUCUCUCUCAAGGUGUGUAAAGAUGUAAACUGGCUUUAAUUAAAAUCAUGAUUACUCUACAAAAUGGCUGGAGUGAAAAAAGCUGGAUGUGCAGCCUGUAAUUGCUAAAUGAUAUCUCCAAUUUAUCUCCAAUUACUGAUAGCCUGGUAUGUUAUUCUCUUUUUGUUAGUUAUCUCCUUUAUUGUUCAACUUUUGUUGAUAAUAUCCAUUACUUUAUUUGUUUUAGUGGACUUAAUCUGUUUCAUGUCAAUUAGCAUUUUGGUCCAUUCAAAUAUCAAUCUGGGACAGUGCAGUAAUUCUUGUCAAAUUUAUUGUUUUUUCAUGUGUUUUUCCUUUUUAAUAUCGUUUUUUUUUUGGUAUCAUAAUACAGAAUAAUGCAACAUCUUUCAAAUAGUUAAAGCCUAAAACUAAUGAAAUUAAUCUUUGUUUCUGCCCGAUGAUGAGUUAGUUCUGUAUUGAUUUCAUUUUGAGCUUCCAUCUCUUUCUGCUCCCAUCAUCAUCAGCCCGAUCUUUAUUAUGAGUAAUGAUAUGUGCACACAAAAUAUGCACAAAAACAUGACACAGUGAUGGCUGGCACUGCCAUGUUAUUAUUAUUAAUGUUAUUAUUAGUACACAGUGAUAUGUGCACAUAUCAUUACUCCUUUAUUAUUAUUAUUAUUAUUAUUUUGUUCAUUGUUGUUGGUAGUGGUGGUGGUAAUGGUGAUGGUUGAAGUGGUGGUGUUUAAACCUUGAAGAUGUGAUUGGUUCUUAAUGAAUUUUCGAUGUUCAUGAAAUUUAUAAUUAUAAUCUCUGGGGGCAUGUAUAGGAUGUAUAACUUUAACGUUUGGAGGUUUACAAGAUCAGGGGACGUAUUAUGUCAAGAUAUUGUUUAUGUGGUUUUUUAGGUUUCACGUGCUUUACUUGUUUUUUGUCCUGUGAUGGAAAAACUCAUUUUGGGAAGCAGUUCCAUGGUUUGCAUCAUGAGCCUUGUUACAUCUGUCUCUGUCUCUGCAUCUUUCUCUUCUUUACUCUAUGGUGCCUAAUAGCAACACUCUUAUAUUUAUCUCUCUCUCUCUCUCUCUCGUAGGGUGGUUGGACAUGUAGUAAGGCUCAAAUGUAAUGAAAAUUCUCAUGUUAUACUGUUAAUGACCAUAUUAGCUAUGAGAUCUGAGGGCUUUCUUUUACUGAUCAUUUACUCUUUUGAAUAUUCAUGUUUGUUUCUUCAUGUUUUUAUAAUGCUUCCAGUUAAUCAGAUGUGUUAUUAAAGGUCUUGAGUUGCAUUUUUCUAAUGAUUAUCUUUGUUAUUAGUAACUAGAAAUUUGCUUUCUAGUAGGUUUUGGUUUUGUAUUUGACCACUACUUUGCAGAAGUUAAUCAUUUUGCAGGCUAUAUGAUAUUUGGCUCCUCAUCAUUAUCUAUACUUUUUAAUGCCUGAUGAUGACAUUUUGUUGCAAUAAGUUUUCUUUUUGAUCGUCCAUCUUUCCGCUCCUUCCAUCAUUGAUACUCACCAUAAGCCACCAGUGCCCUAUGUGAUGUUUUGGUGCAUAUUUGUGUGCACAUAUCUUUACUCUUAUUAUUAUUAUUAUUAUUGUUGUUGUUGGUGGUGGUGGUGAUGAUCUCCUUUCAAAGGAGUUUGCGGUAAAUGUCUGUGGUGGUAGUUGUAGUGGUAUUGGUGUAAAGCCAUUUGGAUGAUGUGAUUGAAAAUUGUGCAGUAAGAUCUGAGGGCGCUCAUAUUGUUGUUGUUUUUUUUUUAAUUAUUAUUCUUGUAGUUUCUACCUCAAUUUAUUGUAAACUAACCCUUGUAUGUUUACCAGUCCAUUUUGGUUUACUGUCUAUGAUACAGCAUUCAUUUGAACAUCUCUGAAUAUUUUUAGUGUUAUGCAUUUAGUUUUUUAAUAAAUGUGGUUUUUGAAUAUAGCCAUACAACAGUAAUAGAGUAGAAAUUAAAAAGAAGCAGUAAUUUUCCAUUUUGAUUCAUGCGUGAUCUUUUCUUCUAAUGAUUUUCUUUCUGUGCUGAAAAGCGAAAGAACUUAACUCAAUCUGUGUAUUGCCUAGUAAAGAAUUUGGAGGGUGUCUAAUUCCCCCUUAGUCUGUUCUUGUUUUAAUUUAAGGAUUGUUGUUUAAUUAACUCUGAUGAAAAUGUUGGUAGUUUAUAGUUAAUUCCACGAGUUUUCAUCGAGAAUUUUCUUCAUUAUUGUUGGUAACAUCAUGAUAUUUUUUAUUUUUGUAAUACUUGUUACUUUUGAAUUUCAAAUAUGUUUUUUGUUUUACUAAAUUGUGUUAAAUCUUUUGUAUUAGCUAGUUACUUUCGGGAUAUGGUGAUUAAAAGUUCAAAGUUUGCCUGAUGAUGAGAUUUUUUUUGUAUUGAUAUGUGCGCAUUGAUUUCAUUUUUAACCUCCAUCUUUCCUGCUCCCACCAUCUUCGGUACACAGCAUCAUCUCCAAAAGUCCAAUAUUUAUUGUCACCCAAACAUUACACACUUAUAAAUACAAUCAUUAUUAUUACUUUCUCAUGUCGAUGAUGGUAGUUGAAGUGGCUUUGUUUAAACCUUGAGAUGUGAUUAGUUUUUAUGAAUUUUCAAUGUUCAUGAAAUUUUAGCAAUCUCUGAUGGCAUUUAUCUAUCAAGAUCAUAUGAUUAAAUAGCUACGAAAUAUUAACUUGUUUGGUCCAUAUGAAGUCAAAAUGAAGAUCUAUGUUUUUUCGCCCAGUGAUGGAAAACUCAUUUUGUGAAGCGGUUUCAUGGUUUUGCAUUGUAAGCCUUGUUACUUAAUAAACUCUUUCUCUCUAUAUAUAUAUAUGUGUGUGUGUGUAUUUCUCUCUCUUUCUCUCUCCAGGAAAUAUCUAUUUCACAUUAUCUAUUGAGAGUGCUCUUAAGGCUUGUAAUGAAAAUUCUCAUGUUAUACUGUAAUGACCAGAUGUGCUAUGAGAUCUGAGGGCUUUCAUUGUCCAUUCAUCUACCGUUUUGAAUAUUGAAGUUUUUAAUGCAUUUUUUUAUAAUGCUCUAUUGUUGUUUCACCUGUCUUUCUGUGCAUGAUUUUAUUUACUCUUUCAGUAUGUGGUGGAUGCAUGUCUAUAACCACCACUUCACAAUGCCAUUUCACUUUAGAUUACUAUUCUAUGAUGCCUUUUGAUGAUUUUGUGUCAAUUAACUUGAAUCUGUUUGCAGUGCAUCUUGUAUACAUUGGUUUUGUUUUUUUGUCUAUAUCUGUUUCAGGCCAUUUUUGCUUUUCAAAUUAUGAACUUUUUUUUCCUUUUGCUUGAUAAUGACAAUUUUAUGCUUUGAGUCCUCUGUUUGGUUUUAUCUUUCUGCUCCCACUCACCAUAAGCCUCCAAAGGUUCCAUUCACAUAUCAUUACUCCUGUUAUUAUUGCUGUUUGGUUGUGGUGGUGGUCGUAGUGGUAGUGGACCCUUCUGGAUGAUGUGAUUACAUUAUAAUGCAAGUUUUGCUACAAAGUCUGAGGGCUUUGAUAUUGUUGUUCUCUUUGUAGGUUCUUUUUUUUUUUUUUGGUUCUCAAUUAAUAAUUAUUUUUAUCCAAGUGAAGCUGCCUGAUGAACUUGUUGAAUUGGGUUUAUGAUAGGCCUCCACUUACCUACGUGUACACAAGAAAGGGGGUUAAGAAUGCCAGGUGAGCAAUAGGGAAAGAACCAGUAGAGGAGAGUUAGUUAGAGUGCUCGGGUGUGUGCAUGGAUUGUGUAUGGUGGGGCUGAGGUGUAGAGUGCACUUGUUGUGCUACUGAGUGAGUAGAAUAAAUGCUAAAUUGAAACCAGUGACCUGUGAUGGGCCUGAAGAGGGAUAAUCAGAUGGAGGUGUUGGAUGAAUGUGUGGAAUUGUUGAAAUCGGAUUACCUGCAAGAGAGAUAUUGAGGGCCUGCAAUUGAUAUCUCAAAUUACUGGUAUGUUAUUUUCUUCUCUGUUAGUUUGUCCUCUACGGUGCAACUUUUGUUGAUUAUGUAUACUAUUUUACUCUAUCAUUAUUAUUUUUAUCUUGUUUUUGGUGGUGGUAUGCCUUGAGGAUGUGAUUGGUUUUUAAUGAAUUUUCAUGAAAUUUAUAACUGUAAUCUCUGAGGGCAUAUUAGUAUUUUUUUUGAUAUAACUUUAGCGUAUGGAGGUUUACAACAUUAGGGGAUAUAAUACAGUAAGAUACUGUUCAGGUAUCCCGUGCUUUACAUGUUUUUGGCCAUUUGAUGGAAAAACUCAUUGUGGGAAGCAGCUUCAUGGUUUUGCAUCAUGAGCUUUGUUACAUCUGUCCUACUCGUUUGCUCCUUAGCAUGCCAUUUGCUCCUUAACAAUACUCGUAUAUAUCUCGUUUUCUCUCUCUUGGAUGGUAUAACAAGGUUCAUAAUGAAAAUUCUUCAUGUUAUACUGCUAAUCACCAGAUUGGCUAUGAGAUCUGAGGGCUUUGUUCGACUGAGCAAAUAUACUCUUUUGAAUAUUUAUGUAUGUUUCUAUUUGAUCUUUUAUAAUGCUAUUUUGUUGCAUUCAAAUGUGUUAAUGAAGAUUUUGUAUUUGACCACUACUACUUAACAAUGCCAUCUCAGUCUGUAUUGUGAGCAUUUACCUUUUCUAUUAUGCUUUUGAAUGGUUUCGUUUCAAUGAACUUAAUCUGUUUGCAUUGCAUUCUUGUUUUGUUUAUAUAUAUAUAUUGGCUGCUCAAAUAUUUAUCAAAUAAUUUUUUAACGCCUGAUGAUGACAUUUUGUUGCAUUGAGUUUUCAUUUUGAUCUUCCAUCUUUCUGCCCCUACCACCAUUGAUACUCGCCAUAAGCCACCAUGCCCCUACACGUCCUAUCAGUAUGUAAUGUAUUGGUGCAUAUUUUGUGUAGCCAUCAGCAAAGAUUUUGUAUUUUUGUUGCAAAUAUCCCCUAUUAUUAUUGUUGUUGUUGUUGCUGUUGACGGUGAUGAUCUGCAUCUGAAGGUGGUUGCGGUGAAUGUCGGUGGUGGUGGUGGUGGUGGUGGUGGUGGUGGUUGUAGUGGUUUUGGUGUUAAGCCAUCUGAGUGGAAAUUUUGCUACAAGAUCUGAAGGCUGUAUUUUUUUCUACCUAAUUUAAUUGUAAGCUAACUCUUGUACUAUAAGCUUCUAGCCAAUGCUGUUGGUUUCUGAAGUAAAAAUGAAGACAUAUUUGGUAUUUUUGCUGCAAAUGUCGUUAUUAUUAUUUUUGUUGCUGUUGCUGUUGCCGGUGAAGAUCAAAUAUCUUUUAAUGCAUUUUACCAAGUUCGGACGAGUGUUGGCUUAAUAGUAGUAAUCAAUGUUACGAGUC